This 32-nucleotide transfer RNA is filed under the name Costus arabicus. RNAcentral describes it as "partial tRNA-Phe". The record is from RNAcentral. Lineage: Eukaryota; Viridiplantae; Streptophyta; Magnoliopsida; Zingiberales; Costaceae.
GUCGGGAUAGCUCCAGUUGGUAGGAGGCAGAG